UUCCCUCUCCUUUCUCAUAAUUCCUGCAGGUCCCAGGUCACUGCUUCGUUCUCACGCACAUUUUUAACAUUCCUUCCUGCUGCAGCCUUACCAUACACCUUCCUCUGGGUUUGACCGUGGAAUCUUUCCACCAUUCUGUUUCCAAAGCCCUCUUUCUUUCUCUCUGUCUCUCUCCCUCUUUCUAAUUCUCUGAACCCCUCCUUGUGCUCUCUUUCUCUGAACGCUCCACUUUCCCGCUUAGUCAGCCGACCGGGAUUGCUGGGAUUACAGGUUGGAGGUGACGGCUGUGUGUGUGUGUUCACUAGAGUCCUUUAAUGAUUCACAGACAACAGGCUAACAUUUCCCACCAGAGAGAGAGUGGGGGAGGAUGGAUGGAUGGAUGAAUGAAGAGACAGAGGAUGAGCUGAAGGUGGAAGGAGAGGGGGAGGAGAUGGUCAGCAUGCUGUUUAAAAGCGUCGAGGGAAAGACCACAGGCAGAACGCAGGAUCAAUGGAAAGAUCGAUCUGGAGUUUGUGUCUCUGUCUCUCUGGGUGGUGUGGUCAGUGUGAUGUCAGCGCUGAUACAGAGGGGCAGAGGAGUGGGAGUGAUCUGACAAGAUCAGUGUUGAAGAAAUAAAGAGAGAUGGAG
This is a long non-coding RNA of Pygocentrus nattereri (red-bellied piranha), 627 nucleotides long. RefSeq lists it as uncharacterized. The record is from RefSeq and is a predicted model, not a curated record. The transcript has 3 exons. NCBI's taxonomy places the organism in Eukaryota, Metazoa, Chordata, Actinopteri, Characiformes, Serrasalmidae.